Molecule: transfer RNA, 55 nt
Filed under: Nippostrongylus brasiliensis
Lineage: Eukaryota; Metazoa; Nematoda; Chromadorea; Rhabditida; Heligmosomidae
Source: Rfam by way of RNAcentral
GCACAGUGGUCAGUGCAGUCUGCCGGAAGCAGAAAGACGCGGGUUCAAUUCCCGU